GCAGCUCAGGGUUUGCCAGCAGCCGAACAGGGCAGCAGGGCAUCGCGGACCGUGACUGUCUGCAGCGUAUUCCCAGAAGGCCUGCGAGGGCUGAACCAUCGGGACACCACAGGAAGGAUGUAAUCACCACCAUUACGCUCCAGGCUCACAAAGGCAGCGGAAGACCAGGAUGACAUCCAGAGUUGAAAACGAACACGCACGAAAACCACACAACGGUGUGCACACCUGAGUCAAGAAUGCCUUUUGGCGGUUUGUGAACAAAUAAAAGCGUAUUGGACGGACGUAUGCAGAGCGAUGUCAGUGUGUCAUCACACGGUAUUGAUCUAGGAAACCUGAGGAGCUGAUUGAUGAUUUCCACUCUGCACUCUGUGAACAGUUAGCUUUCCUUUCACUGGGCUCUCUCUUCAGCUCUGCAUGAUGCUCCAUAUGGAUGGAAAGUCUUCAUAUUUUUCCAUUGUUUUUUUUAUAAAAAAUAUAAUCAUUCCAAAGCCCCUUCAAAUUGCACAUUUCUUUCCUUA
Molecule: long non-coding RNA, 518 nt
Organism: Seriola aureovittata
Lineage: Eukaryota; Metazoa; Chordata; Actinopteri; Carangiformes; Carangidae
Exons: 3
Source: RefSeq, a predicted model, not a curated record